CACGAGCGGUGGAGGUGUGGACUGGAAGUGGAAGGUAACAUAGUAGUGGAAUCGGAAACUUGGAAGACACGAUGUUUAACCUUCCCGAAAGACACUCUUCAUCAUUAUCAUAGGACAGGACGUGCAUGGCUGAUUAGCGGAAGGAAGGCUGUGGGUUCGUCACGAGUAGAAGAACGUUUAGCAUCCGUCCAUCCCUCCUUUCUGCCUGGGAGCUGGAUAUGUCCCUGGACCGUGGGCGCGUGUCCGGAAAUGUUGUUUGGACAGUGAGUCUUGUCAAGCAGCGAGGAAACUUGACUCAGCGUGUACGAUCGAGGACAAGCACAUAGAGUACCUACAUUUCAAACCGU
Molecule: long non-coding RNA, 347 nt
Organism: Portunus trituberculatus (swimming crab)
Lineage: Eukaryota; Metazoa; Arthropoda; Malacostraca; Decapoda; Portunidae
Exons: 3
Source: RefSeq, a predicted model, not a curated record